GAGAGUCGCAGGCGAGAGUCGAAGAACUGGAAACUGCUCACUCGCACCUACAGAAACGAUUAGAUAAAUUGAAAAUGCAAAAUCAGCACUUUUAAAAGAACUGUAGCAAGACUGCACCACUCAUAACAAAUGAGUGGUGAUUAUAUCUACUACGCCAGCGAACUAGUGCGUGUGGGAUACAAGAACUUCGAAUUUUAUUACUACUUAU
Molecule: long non-coding RNA, 208 nt
Organism: Nilaparvata lugens (brown planthopper)
Lineage: Eukaryota; Metazoa; Arthropoda; Insecta; Hemiptera; Delphacidae
Exons: 2
Source: RefSeq, a predicted model, not a curated record